Molecule: ribosomal RNA, 513 nt
Filed under: uncultured bacterium
Lineage: Bacteria
Description: bacterial SSU rRNA
Rfam family: Bacterial small subunit ribosomal RNA
Source: RNAcentral
AGAGUUUGAGUCCUGGCUCAGGAUGAACGCUAGCUACAGGCUUAACACAUGCAAGUCGAGGGGCAUCAUGAACUUAGCUUGCUAAGUUUGAUGGCGACCGGCGCACGGGUGAGUAACGCGUACUCCAACCUGGCCCACAGUAGGGUAUAGCCCGGCGAAAGUCGGAUUAAUCCCCUAUGCACUCCGAAGCGGCAUCUAAUUUGGAGUAAAGGUUUACCGCUGUGGGAUGGGGAUGCGUCCAAUUAGCUUGCCGGCGGGGCAACGGCCCACCGGGGCAACGAUUGGUAGGGGUUCUGAGAGGAAGGUCCCCCACAUUGGUACUGAGACACGGACCAAACUCCUACGGGAGGCAGCAGUGAGGAAUAUUGGUCAAUGGGCGCGAGCCUGAACCAGCCAAGUAGCGUGCAGGAAGACGGCCCUAUGGGUUGUAAACUGCUUUUGUACGGGAAUAAAGUCAGGGACGUGUCCCUGUUUGCAUGUACCGUAAGAAUAAGGACCGGCUAAUUCCGUGCC